This 253-nucleotide ribosomal RNA is filed under the name uncultured bacterium. RNAcentral describes it as "partial 16S ribosomal RNA". It matches the Rfam family "Bacterial small subunit ribosomal RNA", at positions 524 to 776 of the family's 1533-position model. The record is from RNAcentral.
UACGAAGGAUGCAAGCGUUAUCCGGAUUCAUUGGGCUUAAAGGGAGCGUAGGUGGCCUUAUAAGUCAGUGGUGAAAUCUCGCAGCUCAACUGCGAAAUUGCCAUUGAUACUGUAGGGCUUGAGUACAGUUGCUGUGGGCGGAAUAUGACAUGUAGUGGUGAAAUACAUAGAGAUGUCAUAGAACACCGAUUGCGAAGGCAGCUCACAAAACUGUAACUGACACUGAGGCUCGAAAGUGCGGGGAUCAAACAGG